This 427-nucleotide ribosomal RNA is filed under the name uncultured bacterium. RNAcentral describes it as "bacterial SSU rRNA". It matches the Rfam family "Bacterial small subunit ribosomal RNA", at positions 355 to 775 of the family's 1533-position model. The record is from RNAcentral.
UCGAGAAUUUUUCACAAUGGGCGAAAGCCUGAUGGAGCGACGCCGCGUGGGGGAUGAAUGGCUUCGGCCCGUAAACCCCUGUCAUUCGCGAGCAAACGUUAUUAUUUAAAAGAUGAUAGCCUGAUAGUAGCGAAAGAGGAAGGGACGGCUAACUCUGUGCCAGCAGCCGCGGUAAUACAGAGGUCCCAAGCGUUGUUCGGAUUUACUGGGCGUAAAGGGUGCGUAGGUGGUGGGGUAAGUCGGAUGUGAAAUCUCCGAGCUCAACUCGGGAAGUGCACUGGAAACUACCCUGCUCGAGGGUUGGAGGGGGGACUGAAAUACUUGGUGUAGCAGUGAAAUGCGUAGAUAUCAAGUGGAACACCAGUGGCGAAGGCGAGUCCCUGGACAACUCCUGACACUGAGGCACGAAAGCUAGGGGAGCAAACAG